RNAcentral lists this transfer RNA (76 nucleotides) under Clostridiales bacterium. RNAcentral describes it as "tRNA-Gln". It matches the Rfam family "tRNA". Rfam says of the family: Transfer RNA (tRNA) molecules are approximately 80 nucleotides in length. Their secondary structure includes four short double-helical elements and three loops (D, anti-codon, and T loops). Further hydrogen bonds mediate the characteristic L-shaped molecular structure. tRNAs have two regions of fundamental functional importance: the anti-codon, which is responsible for specific mRNA codon recognition, and the 3' end, to which the tRNAs corresponding amino acid is attached (by aminoacyl-tRNA synthetases). tRNAs cope with the degeneracy of the genetic code in two manners: having more than one tRNA (with a specific anti-codon) for a particular amino acid; and 'wobble' base-pairing, i.e. permitting non-standard base-pairing at the 3rd anti-codon position. RNAcentral also lists the same sequence under 1 other name. The record is from RNAcentral. Lineage: Bacteria; Bacillati; Bacillota; Clostridia; Eubacteriales.
AGGGGUGUCGCCAAGCUGGUAAGGCACAGGACUUUGACUCCUGCAUUCGUCGGUUCGAAUCCGGCCGCCCCUGCCA